CAGAAUCUGAGCUUAGUGAAAAACCACCUGUUCUUCCCGGUUUUGAACCUUUCCUCGAACCUCUUCUUGGUCUCUUUGGCGGCGGUGACCUUUUUGUCCUUUGACUGCAACGAAUCGACAGUGACAACAUCUUUAAGAUCGACAUCGAGAGUGUACCUAGUGGGCAUCAGAUGCCUAUAAUUAACGAGCUUAAUGAAGGCCUUGACACGGGAUUUUUUAGCGGUCUUCUUGGCGGAGUCCUUGCGGAUAACCUUGGCCGGGUACUUCUUGAUUCCAGCGACUAAGCAGUGGCCAUAAGCGCGAUCCCGAGUUCCAUCGUCGAAGGCGCGAAUGAUGACCGCCUUCCGGCCGGCGUAACGGCC
Molecule: long non-coding RNA, 362 nt
Filed under: Cucumis sativus (cucumber)
Lineage: Eukaryota; Viridiplantae; Streptophyta; Magnoliopsida; Cucurbitales; Cucurbitaceae
Description: long non-coding RNA (CSAT_LNC001421)
Source: RNAcentral